AGUUUGAUCCUGGCUCAGAACGAACGCUGGCGGCAGGCUUAACACAUGCAAGUCGAACGCUCCGCAAGGAGAGUGGCAGACGGGUGAGUAACGCGUGGGAAUCUACCCAACCCUGCGGAAUAGCUCUGGGAAACUGGAAUUAAUACCGCAUACGCCCUACGGGGGAAAGAUUUAUCGGGGUAUGAUGAGCCCGCGUUGGAUUAGCUAGUUGGUGGGGUAAAGGCCUACCAAGGCGACGAUCCAUAGCUGGUCUGAGAGGAUGAUCAGCCACAUUGGGACUGAGACACGGCCCAAACUCCUACGGGAGGCAGCAGUGGGGAAUAUUGGACAAUGGGCGCAAGCCUGAUCCAGCCAUGCCGCGUGAGUGAUGAAGGCCUUAGGGUUGUAAAGCUCUUUCACCGGUGAAGAUAAUGACGGUAACCGGAGAAGAAGCCCCGGCUAACUUCGUGCCAGCAGCCGCGGUAA
RNAcentral lists this ribosomal RNA (465 nucleotides) under uncultured bacterium. Its description in RNAcentral is "bacterial SSU rRNA". It matches the Rfam family "Bacterial small subunit ribosomal RNA", at positions 10 to 523 of the family's 1533-position model. The record is from RNAcentral.